This 72-nucleotide transfer RNA is filed under the name Loxodonta africana (African savanna elephant). It matches the Rfam family "tRNA". Rfam says of the family: Transfer RNA (tRNA) molecules are approximately 80 nucleotides in length. Their secondary structure includes four short double-helical elements and three loops (D, anti-codon, and T loops). Lineage: Eukaryota; Metazoa; Chordata; Mammalia; Proboscidea; Elephantidae. The record is from Rfam by way of RNAcentral.
GGUCCCGUGGUGUAAUGAUUAGCACUCUGGACUUUGAAUCCAGAAAUCCGAGUUCAAACCUCACUGGGACCU